Camellia sinensis is the source of this 1273-nucleotide long non-coding RNA. RefSeq lists it as uncharacterized. NCBI's taxonomy places the organism in Eukaryota, Viridiplantae, Streptophyta, Magnoliopsida, Ericales, Theaceae. The record is from RefSeq and is a predicted model, not a curated record.
CUCCUGCUCUGAAUUUGAGCCUGCAGUUGACAUUCUUUAACCAGAAAUCAUCCUUGAAAAGGGAAGAGACCAAGAAGUCUCUUCAGUUAUACAAAACCAUAUCAACCCCUAAAGAGGAGGUCAAAGAAUAAACACUACAAACUCCAUCAACGAAAUGGAAACCCUUACAACAACAACAACAACAACAACAACAAAACAAAAAAAACCCCAUAGUAAUAACUGGGUUUAUGCAAGACUCAUGGAGCAAUGAGAUUGGUGAACUCAACAAAUAGAGGAGGUUGAACCAUAAGAUGCAAUGAAUAUGAGGAAGAAGAGCAGAGAAAUUGUCGUAGAACCUGCAUCUGAUGAGCUGCUUUGCAUUGAUGGUGACUCAGCAGUGGAAGCAGCUGGUGUAGCUAGGGAACCUUUUGGCAUAGCUGGGGAACCAGCUGGCUCAGGCAGAGAUGUUACAAGUUAGUAGAGGACUAGAUUUUAAACAUUUUUAAUGUCACAUUUACAAGGCAUGGUUUUUUAUUUAUAUAUUUUUGUUAAGUGACGUGUUGAUGAAUAAUGAAUUUCCGUCUGAAUUCUUACAAUUGCAACGGCUUAUCGGUGGGGUCUGAACAUUGCAAGCUCUGGCAAGGGCCAGAGCCAGAGUUUGGUUGACAUUGAUCCCCAGAGAUCAUCCACCACCAUUAAGCAGCUGGCACAAGCACUGUGGUUGUGAGCGAACAACAUUAGCAAGCUGUGUGCAGCAUCCUGACUACGGUGUCGAAGAGUUCCCUGUAAUGCAGUUGAGGCAUGGUGACAUGCUAAUUAUUGCGUUCGUACAACUCGACGACGACUGAGCUGCUGCUCCUUCCCAGAGCAUGGUCACCAUCAUAGAACCACCAAUCCCAUCCCAAUCCUUUGACGUGCCAUUAGAAGUUCUUGGAUUGUUACCAGAAAUGAUAGUUGAAUGAGAUUUCUUGGUAAGUAAUCUUGAAGUUUUUAGUGUGAUAAGUAUUGUGGAAGGAGAGACACAGGAGUGUGGCUUAUAUAGGAAAUAUGGAAAGCAGUUAAAUGGAGAUUGUCCAGUGUGGGUGACUAAACUUCUAUAGCCAAUAACUUAGUUUUAAAGGGUAUUCAGAUGUUUGAAACUUGUUCUGUUGUUCGUUUAAGGGUUUAGGAGAAUAUUUGACAAGUGAUUAGUUUUGUGGGUGACCAACUUUCUCAAAUAUUUCCUAUAUUUUAAGGGGUUCAAAUUUGUAGACUUUCUGAAACUUCCUAAGAAUACAGACUCUUACUUUUUCUA